GGGAAUAUAGUUCAGUGGUACAGUGUCUGCCUGGCAAGCGGGAAUCCCUGAGUUCAAUUCUCAGUACCA
Molecule: transfer RNA, 69 nt
Filed under: Fukomys damarensis (Damara mole-rat)
Lineage: Eukaryota; Metazoa; Chordata; Mammalia; Rodentia; Bathyergidae
Rfam family: tRNA
About the family: Transfer RNA (tRNA) molecules are approximately 80 nucleotides in length. Their secondary structure includes four short double-helical elements and three loops (D, anti-codon, and T loops). Further hydrogen bonds mediate the characteristic L-shaped molecular structure. tRNAs have two regions of fundamental functional importance: the anti-codon, which is responsible for specific mRNA codon recognition, and the 3' end, to which the tRNAs corresponding amino acid is attached (by aminoacyl-tRNA synthetases). tRNAs cope with the degeneracy of the genetic code in two manners: having more than one tRNA (with a specific anti-codon) for a particular amino acid; and 'wobble' base-pairing, i.e. permitting non-standard base-pairing at the 3rd anti-codon position.
Source: Rfam by way of RNAcentral